This 468-nucleotide ribosomal RNA is filed under the name uncultured bacterium. RNAcentral's name for it is "bacterial SSU rRNA". It matches the Rfam family "Bacterial small subunit ribosomal RNA", at positions 107 to 573 of the family's 1533-position model. The record is from RNAcentral.
UGAGUAACACGUAUCCAACCUGCCGUCUACUCUUGGACAGCCUUCUGAAAGGAAGAUUAAUACAAGAUGGCAUCAUGAGUCCGCAUGUUCACAUGAUUAAAGGUAUUCCGGUAGACGAUGGGGAUGCGUUCCAUUGGAUAGUAGGCGGGGUAACGGCCCACCUAGUCUUCGAUGGAUAGGGGUUCUGAGAGGAAGGUCCCCCACAUUGGAACUGAGACACGGUCCAAACUCCUACGGGAGGCAGCAGUGAGGAAUAUUGGUCAAUGGGCGAGAGCCUGAACCAGCCAAGUAGCGUGAAGGAUGACUGCCCUAUGGGUUGUAAACUUCUUUUAUAAAGGAAUAAAGUCGGGUAUGGAUACCCGUUUGCAUGUACUUUAUGAAUAAGGAUCGGCUAACUCCGUGCCAGCAGCCGCGGUAAUACGGAGGAUCCGAGCGUUAUCCGGAUUUAUUGGGUUUAAAGGGAGCGUA